UAGAGUUUGAUCAUGGCUCAGAUUGAACGCUGGCGGCAGGCUUAACACAUGCAAGUCGAACGGUAACAGGGAUUAGCUUGCUAAUUUGCUGACGAGUGGCGGACGGGUGAGUAAUGCUUGGGAAUCUAGCUUAUGGAGGGGGAUAACUACGGGAAACUGUAGCUAAUACCGCGUAAAAUCUUCGGAUUAAAGGGUGGGACUUUCGGGCCACCUGCCAUAAGAUGAGCCCAAGUGGGAUUAGGUAGUUGGUUAGGUAAAGGCUGACCAAGCCGACGAUCUCUAGCUGGUCUGAGAGGAUGACCAGCCACACUGGAACUGAGACACGGCCCAGACUCCUACGGGAGGCAGCAGUAGGGAAUCUUCGGCAAUGGGGGGAACCCUGACCGAGCAACGCCGCGUGAGUGAAGAAGGUUUUCGGAUCGUAAAGCUCUGUUGUAAGANAAGANCGAGUGUGANAGUGGAAAGUUCACACUGUGACGGUNUCUUACCAGAAAGGGACGCUACUACGUGCCAGCAGCCNCGNUAAACGUAGGUCCCGAGCGUAUCCGGAUUUNUUGGGCGUAANCNAGCCCAGCGNUUAGAUAGUCUNAGUAAAGCUUGCUUACCAUAGUACCUUUGNAACUGUUACUUGGUCNGAAGGGA
RNAcentral lists this ribosomal RNA (642 nucleotides) under uncultured bacterium. RNAcentral's name for it is "partial 16S ribosomal RNA". It matches the Rfam family "Bacterial small subunit ribosomal RNA", at positions 1 to 655 of the family's 1533-position model. The record is from RNAcentral.